GGCGCGGCGAUCUGUUCCUCCCCUUCCAGCAUCCUGACAACGCUGCCCAUGGACGGCCUAUCCUCCGGCCGAUACUGCACGCACCACAGCGCCACCUUGCACACUCUCUCUGCCAUCUCCCUGUCUCUCUUACCCCCUGUCGCCGCAGCACGCGCCACCACGGCAUCCGUGUCCCCCGCCUCGGACUGGUGCCACACCCACCGCGGGUACCACUCCUGGCUCUCGCGGGCGUGCGGCCCGAGCUCCAGGUUCCGGCGCCUCCCCAGCGUCUCGAACAGCAGCAUCCCGUAGCUGUAGACGUCGCACUUGUGCGUCACCGGCAGCGGCAUCCACAGCUCGGGCGCCGCGUACCCGGGGGUGCCCCGCGCGCCGGUGAUCGUCAGGUACCGCAGCGCCUUGGCCGUGCCGACGGCGAUCUCGCAGAGCUUGCCGAAGCCGACCGUCCUCUCCGGCGUCGGGUCGAACAGGUACCCGUCCAGCGAGCCGUUCUCCAUGUGCUCGUACACGAGCGCCUUCACCGUCGCGUCGAAGCAGAAGCCGUAGAGGCGGACGAGGUUGAUGUGGUAGGUCCGCCCGAUGGUGCCCACCUCCGCCAUGAACUGCUCCUCGGCGCGCUUGCCCAGCGUGCUGUUCAGCACCUUCACGGCCACAGCCGCGCCGUUGGGGAACCGGCCCUUGUACACCACGCCGAAGCCGCCGGACCCGACCUUGUGCGCGUAGUUCCGGGUGAAGGCGCGCAGCUGCCGCGAGCUGAACCGCACCGGCCGCUCAUUCUGGAUGUCCUCGAAGAAGUAGCUCAUGCUCCCCAUCUCCACGUCGUCGUCGUCGUCCGUGCUACCGCGCUCGCCGCCGGCGCGGGUGAUGGACGCCUCGGCCUCGCGGUCGCGGUCGCGGUCGCGGUCGCCUCCGCCUCGUUGUUGCAGAUACGUCUCAACGCCGAAUUUGGCGCACUUGUACAUCCCGACUACGAUGACGACCGACACUAUGCCAGUCGUGAUGGUCGCAACUGCAAAGCCGGCAAGGGAUUAAUUAGAAGGAGCGACGUGUUGGGGCCGUGGAGGCGAAGCUAAUGUACAUGGCGAUUGCCGAUUUUACCGAUUACUAUGGCGAGAAUUCCACCGUCGAGCGCCAUCGAUCUCUUCUUGGUCAGAACCCACUUCGGUACAGGGAGGGAUCGGACUGGAGCUGAACCGUUGAAGGAAGACGGGAGAGGGGAGAGUGAAGAAAGGUUCUGUUCAACCAACUAAUAAACUGUGUGCUCCCUGUACCCUGCUAAGUAUAUAUACAUCGGCAACAGCAUUAAUUGUUUCAUA
RNAcentral lists this unclassified non-coding RNA (1313 nucleotides) under Zea mays. RNAcentral describes it as "misc RNA Zm00001eb067830". Lineage: Eukaryota; Viridiplantae; Streptophyta; Magnoliopsida; Poales; Poaceae. The record is from RNAcentral.